Molecule: non-coding RNA, 16134 nt
Organism: Xyrichtys novacula (pearly razorfish)
Lineage: Eukaryota; Metazoa; Chordata; Actinopteri; Labriformes; Labridae
Source: the annotation of a GenBank genome assembly
CUCCAUGUGCAGAACAUGUGCAGGGGUGGGUUUCCUCCUCUCUGAUUUUGAUUGACAAGCUGGCAGGGUAGUCUGAUUGGCAACUGAGAACUGAGUCUGAUUGGCAACUGAGUAAAGGACAAAGGUUAUUGGUGGAUCGCUACACAGCACAUGCAGAGUCACAUGCAGUGUAUCUCAGUCGGCUACCCUUGAAAUUAACUGAGUUCAUUCACCUCCGACAUCACAGGCUCUGCAAUGUGACUAUCGCACACAUGUAUAUCGUGCAGGCCUACAAGAGAGAAAAAUAACAUACAUUUUUCUGCGGUAGGCUCGGGUCCGUAUUGGACUCUUUCCUGGUCCGGAAGUGGACCGCGGUCUGCCAUACGGAGACCACUGCUUUAGACUAUGUGUUUGUAGAGAAAUUAUUUUUGGAGGUUCAGUUGGGAAUUACAGUAGGUAUGGUGAAGGGUUAUACAAAACGAGUUUUGCAUAUUAAGAAGGAAUAGGAAAGGGAGGGAAUAGAGUGAAAUGUAUCUAAAGGAGUAAGGUUAGGGUGCUUUAGUACAAAGUGUCAGAGGAUGGGGAAGGGAGAAGCAGGUGGUCGGGACUGCAAUCAUUCUGCUUAGGGUUAGUGUUGAGGCUAGGGUUAGGGUAAGGGUUGUGGUUGAGGCUAGGGUUAGGGUGAGUGUUAGAGUUACGUUUGAGGCUAGGGUUAGGGUUAGGGUUAGGGAGAUAUUUGAGGCCAGGGUUAGGGUUAGGGUUGUGGCUGAGGCUAGGGUUAGGGUUAGGGUUAGGGUUAGGGUUACGUUUGAGGCUAGGGUUAGGGGUAGAGUGAUGUUUGAGGCUAGAGUUAGGGUUAGGGUUGUGGUUGAGGCUAGGGUUAGGAUUAGGGUUAGGGUUAUGUUUGAGGCUAGGGUUAGGGUUAGGGUUGUGGUUGAGGCUAGGGUUAGGGUUAGGGUUAGAGAGAUAUUUGAGGCUAGGGUUAGGGUUAGGGUUCUCAUGAGGCUAGGGUUAGGGUUAGGGUUAGGGUUGUGGUUUAGGCUAGGGUUAGGGUUAAGGUUAGAGUGAUGUUUGAGGCUAGGGUUAGGGUUAAGGUUGAGGAUAGGGUUAGGGUUGUGGCUGAGGCUAGAGUUAGGGUUAGGGUCAGUUUGAGGCUAGGGUUAGGGUUAGGGUUAGAGUGAUGUUUGAGGCUAGGGUUAGGGUUAGGGUUAGGGUUGUGGUUGAGGCUAGGGUUAGGGUUAGGGUUAGGGUUACGUUUGAGGCUAGGGUUAGGGUUAGGGUUAGAGUGAUGUUUGAGGCUAGGGUUAGGCUUAGGGUUAGGGUUAUGGUUGAGGCUAGGGUUAGGGUUAGGGUUAGGGUUGUGGUUGAGGCUAGGGUUAGGGUAAGAGUGUUGUUUGAGGUUAGGGUAAGGGUUAUGGUUGAGGCUAGGGUUAGGGUUAGGGUUGUGGCUGAGGCUAGGGUUAGGGUUAGGGUUAGGGUUACGUUUGAGGCUAGGGUUAGGGUUAGGGUUAGAGUGAUGUUUGAGGCUAGGGUUAGGGUUAGGGUUAGAGAGAUAUUUGAGGCUAGGGUUAGGGUUAGGGUUGUGGUUGAGGCUAGGGUUAGGGUUAGGGUUGUGGUUGAGGCUAGGGUUAGGCUUAGGGUUAGGGUUAUGGUUGAGGCUAGGGUUAGGGUUAGGGUUAGGGUUGUGGUUGAGGCUAGGGUUAGGGUUAGGGUUAUGGUUGAGGCUAGGGUUAGGGUUAGGGUUAGGGUUGUGGUUGAGGCUAGGGUUAGGGUUAGGAUUGUGGCUGAGGCUUGGGUUAGGGUUAGGGUUAGGGUUGUGGUUGAGGCUAGGGUUAGGGUUAGGGUUAGGGUUGUGGCUGAGGCUAGGGUUAGGGUUAGGGUUAGAGUUUUGUUUGAGGCUAGGGUUAGGAUUAGGGUUAGCGUGAUGUUUGAGGCUAGGGCUAGGGUUAAGGUUAGGGCUGUGGUUGAGGCUAGGGUUAGGGUUAGGGUUAGGGUUAUCGUUGAGGCUAGGGUUAGGGUUUGGGUUAGGGUUGAGGCUAGGGUUAGGGUUAGGGUUACGUUUGAGGCUAGGGUUAGGGUUACGUGUGAGGAUAGGGUUAGGGUUAGGGGUAGUCUUGUUGUUGAGGCUAGAGUUAGGGUUGUGGUUGAGGCUAGGGUUAGGGUUGGGGUUAGAGAGAUAUUUGAGGCCAGGGUUAGGGUUGUGGCUGAGGCUAGGGUUAGGGUUAGGGUUACGUUUGAGGCUAGGGUUAGGGUUAGGGUUAGAGUGAUGUUUGAGGCUAGGGUUAGGGUUAGGGUUAGAGAGAUAUUUGAUGCUAGGGUUAGGGUUAGGGUUGGGGUUGUGGUUUAGGCUAGGGUUAGGGUUAGGGUUAGGGUUGUGGUUGAGGCUCGGGUUAGGGUUAGGGUUAUGGCUGAGGCUAGGGUUAGGGUUAGGGUUAGGGUUGUGGCUGAGGCUAGGGUUAGGGUUAGGGUUAGGGUUGUGGCUGAGGCUAGGGUUAGGGUUAGGGUUAGAGUUUUGUUUGAGGCUAGGGUUAGGGUUAGGGUUAGAGUGAUGUUUGAGUCUAGGGCUAGGGUUAGGGUUAGGGUUGUGGUUGAGGCUAGGGUUAGGGUUAGGGUUAGGGUUCUCGUUGAGGCUAGGGUUAGGGUUAGGGUUAGGGUUGUGGCUGAGGCUAGGGUUAGGGUUAGGGAUAGGGUUAUCGUUGAGGGUAGGGUUAGGGUUAGGGUUAGGGUUGUGGCUGAGGCUAGGGCUAGGGUUAGGGUUAGGGUUAUGGUGAUUUUUGAGGCUAGGGUUAGGGUUAGGGUCACGGUUGUGGUUGAGGCUAGGGUUAGGGUUAGGGUGAGAGAGCUUUUCGAGGCUAGGCUUAGGGUUAGGGUUAUGGUUAUGGUUGAGGCUAGGGUUAGGGUUAGCGUUAUGGUUGAGGCUAGGGUUAGGGUUUUGGCUGAGGCUAGGGUUAGGGUUACGUUUGAGGCUAGGGUUAGGGUUAGGGUUGUGGUUGAGGCUAAGGUUAGGGUUAGGGUUAGGGUUAUGGUUGAGGCUAGGGUUAGGGUUAGGGUUGUGGUUGAGGCUAGGGUUAGGGUUAGGGUUAGGGUUAUGGUUGAGGCUAAGGUUAGGGUUAGGGUUGUGGCUGAGCCUAGGGUUAGGGUUAGGGUUAGGGUUAGGGUUUUGGCUGAGGCUAGGGUUAGGGUUAGGGUUAGAGUUAUGUAUGAGGCUAGGGUUAGGGUUAGGGUUAGAGUGAUGUUUGAGGCCAGGGCUAGGGUUAGGGUUAGGGUUGUGAUUGAGGCUAGGGUUAGGGUUAGGGUUAGGGUUGUGGUUGAGGCCAGGGUUAGGGUUAGGGUUAGGGUUGUGGUUGAGGCUAGGGUUAGGGUUGGGGUUAGGGUUACGGUUGAGGCUAGGGUUAGGGUUAGGGUUAGGGUUGUGGUUGAGGCUAGGGUUAGGGUUAGGGUUAGGGUUAUGGUUGAGGCUAGGGUUAGGGUUAGGGUUACGGUUAUGGCUGAGGCUAGGGUUAGGGUUAGGGUUAGGGUUGUGGCUGAGGCCAGGGUUAGGGUUAGGGUUAGGGUUAGGGUUAGAGAGAUAUUUGGGGCUAGGGUUAGUGUUAGGGUUGUGGUUGAGGCUAGGGUUAGGGUUAGGGUUAGGGUUAGAGUUAUGUUUGAGGCUAGGGUUAGGGUUAGAGUGAUGUUUGAGGCCAGGGCUAGGGUUAGGGUUAGGGUUGUGGUUGAGGGUAGGGUUAGGGUUAGGGUUAGGGUUAUUGUUGAGGCUAGGGUUAGGGUUACGGUUGUGGCUAGGGUUAGGGUUAGGGUUAGGAUUAUGGUGAUUUUUGAGGCUAGGGUUAGGGUUAGGGUUAGAGUGACGUUUGAGGCUAGGGUUAGGGUUAGGGUUGUGGUUGAGGCUAGGGCUAGGGUUAGAGUUAGAGUUAUGUUUGAGGCUAGGGUUAGGGUUAGGGUUAUAGUGAUGUUUGAGGACAGGGCUAGGGUUAGGGUUAGUGUUGUGGUUGAGGCUAGGGUUAGGGCUAGGGUUAUUGUUGAGGCUAGGGUUAGGGUUACAGUUGUGGCUAGGGUUAGGGUUAGGGUUAGGGUUAGGGUUGUGGUUGAGGCUAGGGUUAGGGUUAGGGUUAGAGUGAUGUUUGAGGCUAGGGUUAGGGUUAGGGUUAGGGUUGUGGUUGAGGCUAGGGUUAGGGUUAGGGUUAGGGUUCGAGAGAUAUUUGGGGCUAGGGUUAGGGUUAGGGUUAGGGUUGUGAUUGAGGCUAGGGUUAGGGUUGUGGUUGAGGCCAGGGUUAGGGUUAGGGUUAGGGUUAGGGUUGUGGUUGAGGCUAGGGUUAGGGUUAGGGUAAGGGUUACGGUUGAGGCUAGGGUUAGGGUAAGGGUUAGGGUUAGGGUUAUGGUUGAGGCUAGGGUUAGGGUUACGGUUGAGGCUGAGGCUAGGGUUAGGGUUAGGGUUAGGGUUGUGGCUGAGGCCAGGGUUAGGGUUAGUGUUAGGGUUAGAGAGAUAUUUGGGGCUAGGGUUAGGGUUAGGGUUGUGACUGAGGCUAGGGUUAGGGUUAGGGUUAGGGUUGUGGUUGAGGCUAGGGUUAGGGUUAGGGUUGUGGUUGAGGCUAGGGUUAGGGUUAGGGUUAUGGUUGAGGCUAGGGUUAGGGUUAGUUUUAGGGUUGUGGUUGAGGCUAGGGUUAGGGUUAGGGUUAGAGUUAUGUUUGAGGCUAGGGUUAGGGUUAGGGUUAGGGUUGUGGCUGAGGCUAGGGUUAGGGUUAGGGUUAGGGUUAUUGUUGAGGCUAGGGUUAGGGUUACGGUUGUGGCUAGGGUUAGGGUUAGGGUUAGGGUUAUGGUGAUUUUUGAGGCUAGGGUUAGGGUUAGGGUUAGAGUGAUGUUUGAGGCUAGGGUUAGGGUUAGGGUUAGGGUUGUGGUUGAGGCUAGGGUUAGGGUUAGGGUUAGGGUUGUGGUUGAGGCUAGGGUCAGGGUUAGGGUUAGGGUUAUGGUUGAGGCUAGGGUUAGGGUUAGGGUUGUGGUUGAGGCUAGGGUUAGGGUUAGGGUUAGAGUUAUGUUUGAGGCUAGGGUUAGGGUUAGAGUGAUGUUUGAGGCCAGGGCUAGGGUUAGGGUUAGGGUUGUGGUUUAGGCUAGGGUUAGGGUUAGGGUUAGGGUUAUUGUUGAGGCUAGGGUUAGGGUUACGGUUGUGGCUAGGGUUAGGGUUAGGGUUAGGGUUAUGGUGAUUUUUGAGGCUAGGGUUAGGGUUAGGGUUAGAGUGAUGUUUGAGGCUAGGAUUAGGGUUAGGGUUAGGGUUGUGGUUGAGGCUAGGGUUAGGGUUAGGGUUAGGGUUAGAGAGAUAUUUGGGGCUAGGGUUAGGGUUAGGGUUAUGGUUGAGGCUAGGGUUAGGGUUAGGGUUAGGGUUGUGGCUGAGGCUUGGGUUAGGGUUAGGGUUAGGGUUGUGGUUGAGGCUAGGGUUAGGGUUAGGGUUAGGGUUAUGUUUUAGGCUAGAGUUAGGGUUAGGGUUAGAGUGAUAUUUGAGGCUAGGGCUAGGGUUAGGGUUAGGGUUGUGGUUGAGGCUAGGGUUAGGGUUAGGGUUAUGGUUGAGGCUAGGGUCGGGUUAGGGUUAGGGUUGUGGCUGAGGCUAGGGUUAGGGUUAGGGUUAUGGUGAUUUUCGAGGCUAGAGUUGGGGGUUAGGGUUACGGUUGUGGUUGAGGCUAGGGUUAGGGUUAGGGUUAGAGAGCUUUUCGAGGCUAGGGUUAGGGUUAGGGUUAGGGUUGUGGUUGAGGCUAGGGUUAGGGUUAGGGUUACGGUUGUGGCUGAGGCUAGGGUUAGGGUUAGGGUUGUGGCUGAGGCUAGGGUUAGGGUUAGGGUUAGGGUUAGAGAGAUAUUUGGGGCUAGGGUUAGGGUUAGGGUUAGGGUUAGAGAGAUAUUUGGGGCUAGGGUUAGGGUUUUGGUUGAGGCUAGGGUUAGGGUUAGGGUUAGGGUUAGGGUUGUGGUUGAGGCUAGAGUUAGGGUUAGGGUUAGGGUUAUGGUUGAGGCUAGGGUUAGGGUUAGGGUUAGGGUUGUGGUUGAGGCUAGGGUUAGGGUUAGGGUUAGGGUUAGAGUCAUGUUUGAGGCUAGGGUUAGGGUUAGAGUGAUGUUUGAGGCCAGGGCUAGGGUUAGGGUUAGGGUUGUGGUUGAGGCUAGGGUUACGGUUAGGGUUAGGGUUAUGGUUGAGACUAGGGUUAGGGUUAGGGUUACGGUUGUGGCUGAGGCCAGGGUUAGGGUUAGGGUUAGGGUUGUUGCUGAGGCUAGGGUUAGGGUUAGGGUUAGAGUGAUGUUUGAGGCUAGUGUUAGGGUUAGGGUUAGGGUUGUGUUUAAGGCUAGGGUUAGGGUUAGGGUUAGGGUUAGGGUUGUGGUUGAGGCUAGGGUUAGGGUUAGGGUUAGGGUUAUGGUUGAGGCUAGGGUUAGGGUUAGGGUUAGAGUUAUGUUUGAGGCUAGGGUUAGGGUUAGAGUGAUGUUUGAGGCCAGGGCUAGGGUUAGGGUUAGGGUUGUGGUUGAGGCUAGGGUUAGGGUUAGGGUUAGGGUUAUUGUUGAGGCUAGGGUUAGGGUUACGGUUGUGGCUAGGGUUAGGGUUAGGGUUAUUGUGAUUUUUGAGGCUAGGGUUAGGGUUAGGGUUAGAGUGAUGUUUGAGGCUAGGGUUAGGGUUAGGGUUAGGGUUGUGGUUGAGGCUAGGGUUAGGGUUAGGGUUAGGGUUAGGGUUAGAGAGAUAUUUGGGGCUAGGGUUAGGGUUAGGGUUAGGGUUGUGGUUGAGGCUAGGGUUAGGGUUAGGGUUAGGGUUACGGUUGAGGCUAGGGUUAGGGUUAGGGUUACGGUUGUGGCUGAGGCUAGGGUUAGGUUUAGCGUUAGGGUUGUGGCUGAGGCUAGGGUUAGGGUUAGGGUUAGAGUGAUGUUUGAGGCUAGUUUUAGGGUUAGGGUUAGGGUUGUGUUUAAGGCUAGGGUUAGGGUUAGGGUUAGGGUUAGGGUUGUGGUUGAGGCUAGGGUUAGGGUUAGGGUUAGGGUUAUGGUUGAGGCUAGGGUUAGGGUUAGGGUUAGAGUUAUGUUUGAGGCUAGGGUUAGGGUUAGAGUGAUGUUUGAGGCCAGGGCUAGGGUUAGGGUUAGGGUUGUGGUUGAGGCUAGGGUUAGGGUUAGGGUUAGGGUUAUUUUUGAGGCUAGGGUUAGGGUUACGGUUGUGGCUAAGGUUAGGGUUAGGGUUAGGGUUAUUGUGAUUUUUGAGGCUAGGGUUAGGGUUAGGGUUAGAGUGAUGUUUGAGGCUAGGGUUAGGGUUAGGGUUAGGGUUGUGGUUGAGGCUAGGGUUAGGGUUAGGGUUAGGGUUAGAGAGAUAUUUGGGGCUAGGGUUAGGGUUAGGGUUAGGGUUGUGGUUGAGGCUAGGGUUAGGGUUAGGGUUAGGGUUAUGGUUGAGGCUAGGGUUAGGGUUAGGGUUACGGUUGUGGCUGAGCCUAGGGUUAGGUUUAGGGUUAGGGUUGUGGCUGAGGCUAGGGUUAGGGUUAGGGUUAGAGUUAUGUUUUAGGCUAGGGUUAGGGUUAGGGUUAGAGUGAUAUUUGAGGCUAGGGCUAGGGUUAGGGUUAGGGUUGUGGUUGAGGCUAGGGUUAGGGUUAGGGUUAGGGUUAUGGUUGAGGCUAGGGUCGGGUUAGGGUUAGGGUUGUGGCUGAGGCUAGGGUUAGGGUUGGGGUUAAAGAGCUUUUCGAGGCUAGGGUUAGGGUUAGGGUUAGGGUUAGGGUUAGGGUUGUGGUUGAGGCUAGGUUUAGGGUUAGGGUUAUGGUUGAGGCUAGGGUUAGGGUUAGGGUUAGGGUUGUGGUUGAGGCUAGGGUUAGGGUUAGGGUUAGGGUUAGGGUUAGAGUUAUGUUUGAGGCUAGGGUUAGGGUUAGAGUGAUGUUUGAGGCCAGGGCUAGGGUUAGGGUUAGGGUUGUGGUUGAGGCUAGGGUUAGGGUUAGGGUUAGGGUUAUUGUUGAGGCUAGGGUUAGGGUUACGGUUGUGGCUAGGGUUAGGGUUAGGGUUAGGGUUAUGGUGAUUUUUGAGGCUAGGGUUAGGGUUAGGGUUAGAGUGAUGUUUGAGGCUAGGAUUAGGGUUAGGGUUAGGGUUGUGGUUGAGGCUAGGGUUAGGGUUAGGGUUAGGGUUAGAGAGAUAUUUGGGGCUAGGGUUAGGGUUAGGGUUAUGGUUGAGGCUAGGGUUAGGGUUAGGGUUAGGGUUGUGGCUGAGGCUUGGGUUAGGGUUAGGGUUAGGGUUGUGGUUGAGGCUAGGGUUAGGGUUAGGGUUAGGGUUAUGUUUUAGGCUAGAGUUAGGGUUAGGGUUAGAGUGAUAUUUGAGGCUAGGGCUAGGGUUAGGGUUAGGGUUGUGGUUGAGGCUAGGGUUAGGGUUAGGGUUAUGGUUGAGGCUAGGGUCGGGUUAGGGUUAGGGUUGUGGCUGAGGCUAGGGUUAGGGUUAGGGUUAGAGUAAUGUUUGAGGCUAGGGCUAGGGUUAGGGUUAGGGUUAGGGUAGUGGUUGAGGCUAGGGUUAGGGUUAGGGUUAGGGUUGUGGUUGAGGCUAGGGUUAGGGUUAGGGUUAGGGUUAGAGAGAUAUUUGGGGCUAGGGUUAGGGUUAGGGUUGUGGUUGAGGCUAGGGUUAGGGUUAGGGUUAGGGUUAUGGUUGAGGCUAGGGUUAGGGUUAGGGUUACGGUUGUGGCUGAGGCUAGGGUUAGGGUUAGGGUUAGAGUUAUGUUUGAGGCUAGGGUUAGGGUUAGAGUGAUGUUUGAGGCCAGGGCUAGGGUUAGGGUUAGGUGUGUGGUUGAGGCUAGGGUUAGGGUUAGGGUUAUUGUUGAGGAUAGGGUUAGGGUUACGGUUGUGGCUAGGGUUAGGGUUAGGGUUAUGGUGAUUUUUGAGGCUAGGGUUAGGGUUAGGGUUAGAGUGAUGUUUGAGGCUAGGGUUAGGGUUAGGGUUAGGGUUUUGGUUGAGGCUAGGGUUAGGGUUCGGGUUAGGGUUAGAGAGAUAUUUGGGGCUAGGGUUAGGGUUAGGGUUAGGGUUGUGGUUGAGUCUAGGGUUAGGGUUAGGGUUAGGGUUAUGGUUGAGGCUAGGGUUAGGGUUAGGGUUACGGUUGUGGCUGAGGCUAGGGUUAGGGUUAGGGUUAGGGUUGUGGCUGAGGCUAGGGUUAGGGUUAGGGUUAGAGUUAUGUUUGAGGCUAGGGUUAGGGUUAGGGUUAGAGUAAUGUUUGAGGCUAGGGCUAGGGUUAGGGUUAGGGUAAGGGUUGUGGUUGAGGCUAGGGUUAGGGUUAGGGUUAGGGUUAGGGUUAGGGUUGUGGUUGAGGCUAGGUUUAGGGUUAGGGUUAUGGUUGAGGCUAGGGUUAGGGUUAGGGUUAGGGUUGUGGUUGAGGCUAGGGUUAGGGUUAGGGUUAGGGUUAGGGUUAGAGUUAUGUUUGAGGCUAGGGUUAGGGUUAGAGUGAUGUUUGAGGCCAGGGCUAGGGUUAGGGUUAGGUGUGUGGUUGAGGCUAGGGUUAGGGUUAGGGUUAUUGUUGAGGAUAGGGUUAGGGUUACGGUUGUGGCCAGGGUUAGGGUUAGGGUUAGGGUUAUGGUGAUUUUUGAGGCUAGGGUUAGGGUUAGGGUUAGAGUGAUGUUUGAGGCUAGGGUUAGGGUUAGGGUUAGGGUUUUGGUUGAGGCUAGGGUUAGGGUUCGGGUUAGGGUUAGAGAGAUAUUUGGGGCUAGGGUUAGGGUUAGGGUUAGGGUUGUAGUUGAGGCUAGGGUUAGGGUUAGGGUUAGGGUUAUGGUUGAGGCUAGGGUUAGGGUUAGGGUUACGGUUGUGGCUGAGGCUAGGGUUAGGGUUAGGGUUAGGGUUUGGGGCUGAGGCUAGGGUUAGGGUUAGGGUUAGAGUUAUGUUUGAGGCUAGGGUUAGGGUUAGGGUUAGAGUAAUGUUUGAGGCUAGGGCUAGGGUUAGGGUUAGGGUUAGGGUAGUGGUUGAGGCUAGGGUUAGGGUUAGGGUUAGGGUUGUGGUUGAGGCUAGGGUUAGGGUUAGGGUUAGGGUUAGAGAGAUAUUUGGGGCUAGGGUUAGGGUUAGGGUUGUGGUUGAGGCUAGGGUUAGGGUUAGGGUUAGGGUUAUGGUUGAGGCUAGGGUUAGGGUUAGGGUUACGGUUGUGGCUGAGGCUAGGGUUAGGGUUAGGGUUAGAGUUAUGUUUGAGGCUAGGGUUAGGGUUAGAGUGAUGUUUGAGGCCAGGGCUAGGGUUAGGGUUAGGUGUGUGGUUGAGGCUAGGGUUAGGGUUAGGGUUAUUGUUGAGGAUAGGGUUAGGGUUACGGUUGUGGCUAGGGUUAGGGUUAGGGUUAUGGUGAUUUUUGAGGCUAGGGUUAGGGUCAGGGUUAGAGUGAUGUUUGAGGCUAGGGUUAGGGUUAGGGUUAGGGUUUUGGUUGAGGCUAGGGUUAGGGUUCGGGUUAGGGUUAGAGAGAUAUUUGGGGCUAGGGUUAGGGUUAGGGUUAGGGUUGUGGUUGAGGCUAGGGUUAGGGUUAGGGUUAGGGUUAUGGUUGAGGCUAGGGUUAGGGUUAGGGUUACGGUUGUGGCUGAGGCUAGGGUUAGGGUUAGGGUUAGGGUUGUGGCUGAGGCUAGGGUUAGGGUUAGGGUUAGAGUUAUGUUUGAGGCUAGGGUUAGGGUUAGGGUUAGAGUAAUGUUUGAGGCUAGGGCUAGGGUUAGGGUUAGGGUUAGGGUAGUGGUUGAGGCUAGGGUUAGGGUUAGGGUUAGGGUUGUGGUUGAGGCUAGGGUUAGGGUUAGGGUUAGGGUUAGAGAGAUAUUUGGGGCUAGGGUUAGGGUUAGGGUUGUGGUUGAGGCUAGGGUUAGGGUUAGGGUUAGGGUUAGGGUUAUGGUUGAGGCUAGGGUUAGGGUUAGGGUUACGGUUGUGGCUGAGGCUAGGGUUAGGGUUAGGGUUAGGGUUGUGGCUGAGGCUAGGGUUAGGGUUAGGGUUAGAGUUAUGUUUGAGGCUAGGGUUAGGGUUAGGGUUAGGGUUGUGGUUGAGGCUAGGGUUAGGGUUACGGUUAGGGUUAGGGUUGUGGUUGAGGCUAGGUUUAGGGUUAGGGUUAUGGUUGAGGCUAGGGUUAGGGUUAGGGUUAGGGUUGUGGUUGAGGCUAGGGUUAGGGUUAGGGUUAGGGUUAGGGUUAGAGUUAUGUUUGAGGCUAGGGUUAGGGUUAGAGUGAUGUUUGAGGCCAGGGCUAGGGUUAGGGUUAGGUGUGUGGUUGAGGCUAGGGUUAGGGUUAGGGUUAUUGUUGAGGAUAGGGUUAUGGUGAUUUUUGAGGCUAGGGUUAGGGUUAGGGUUAGAGUGAUGUUUGAGGCUAGGGUUAGGGUUAGGGUUAGGGUUUUGGUUGAGGCUAGGGUUAGGGUUCGGGUUAGGGUUAGAGAGAUAUUUGGGGCUAGGGUUAGGGUUAGGGUUAGGGUUGUGGUUGAGGCUAGGGUUAGGGUUAGGGUUAGGGUUAUGGUUGAGGCUAGGGUUAGGGUUAGGGUUAGGGUUACGGUUGUGGCUGAGGCUAGGGUUAGGGUUAGGGUUAGGGUUUUGGCUGAGGCUAGGGUUAGGGUUAGGGUUAGAGUUAUGUUUGAGGCUAGGGUUAGGGUUAGGGUUAGAGUAAUGUUUGAGGCUAGGGUUAGGGUUCGGGUUAGGGUUAGGGUAGUGGUUGAGGCUAGGGUUAGGGUUAGGGUUAGGGUUGUGGUUGAGGCUAGGGUUAGGGUUAGGGUUAGAGAGAUAUUUGGGGCUAGGGUUAGGGUUAGGGUUGUGGUUGAGGCUAGGGUUAGGGUUAGGGUUAGGGUUAGGGUUAGAGAGAUAUUUGGGGCUAGGGUUAGGGUUAGGGUUGUGGUUGAGGCUAGGGUUAGGGUUAGGGUUAGGGUUAUGGUUGAGGCUAGGGUUAGGGUUAGGGUUAGGGUUGUGGCUGAGGCUAGGGUUAGGGUUAGGGUUAGAGUUAUGUUUGAGGCUAGGGUUAGGGUUAGAGUGAUGUUUGAGGCCAGGGCUAGGGUUAGGGUUAGGUGUGUGGUUGAGGCUAGGGUUAGGGUUAGGGUUAUUGUUGAGGAUAGGGUUAGGGUUACGGUUGUGGCUAGGGUUAGGGUUAGGGUUAUGGUGAUUUUUGAGGCUAGGGUUAGGGUUAGGGUUAGGGUUAGAGUGAUGUUUGAGGCUAGGGUUAGGGUUAGGGUUAGGGUUGUGGUUGAGGCUAGGGUUAGGGUUAGGGUUAGGGUUAGGGUUGUGGUUGAGGCUAGGUUUAGGGUUAGGGUUAUGGUUGAGGCUAGGGUUAGGGUUAGGGUUAGGGUUGUGGUUGAGGCUAGGGUUAGGGUUAGGGUUAGGGUUAGGGUUAUGUUUGAGGCUAGGGUUAGGGUUAGAGUGAUGUUUGAGGCCAGGGCUAGGGUUAGGGUUAGGUGUGUGGUUGAGGCUAGGGUUAGGGUUAGGGUUAUUGUUGAGGAUAGGGUUAGGGUUACGGUUGUGGCUAGGGUUAGGGUUAGGGUUAUGGUGAUUUUUGAGGCUAGGGUUAGGGUUAGGGUUAGAGUGAUGUUUGAGGCUAGGGUUAGGGUUAGGGUUAGGGUUUUGGUUGAGGCUAGGGUUAGGGUUCGGGUUAGGGUUAGAGAGAUAUUUGGGGCUAGGGUUAGGGUUAGGGUUAGGGUUGUGGUUGAGGCUAGGGUUAGGGUUAGGGUUAGGGUUAUGGUUGAGGCUAGGGUUAGGGUUAGGGUUAGGGUUACGGUUGUGGCUGAGGCUAGGGUUAGGGUUAGGGUUAGGGUUUUGGCUGAGGCUAGGGUUAGGGUUAGGGUUAGAGUUAUGUUUGAGGCUAGGGUUAGGGUUAGGGUUAGAGUAAUGUUUGAGGCUAGGGUUAGGGUUCGGGUUAGGGUUAGGGUAGUGGUUGAGGCUAGGGUUAGGGUUAGGGUUAGGGUUGUGGUUGAGGCUAGGGUUAGGGUUAGGGUUAGGGUUAGAGAGAUAUUUGGGGCUAGGGUUAGGGUUAGGGUUGUGGUUGAGGCUAGGGUUAGGGUUAGGGUUAGGGUUAGGGUUAGAGAGAUAUUUGGGGCUAGGGUUAGGGUUAGGGUUGUGGUUGAGGCUAGGGUUAGGGUUAGGGUUAGGGUUAUGGUUGAGGCUAGGGUUAGGGUUAGGGUUAGGGUUGUGGCUGAGGCUAGGGUUAGGGUUAGGGUUAGAGUUAUGUUUGAGGCUAGGGUUAGGGUUAGAGUGAUGUUUGAGGCCAGGGCUAGGGUUAGGGUUAGGUGUGUGGUUGAGGCUAGGGUUAGGGUUAGGGUUAUUGUUGAGGAUAGGGUUAGGGUUACGGUUGUGGCUAGGGUUAGGGUUAGGGUUAUGGUGAUUUUUGAGGCUAGGGUUAGGGUUAGGGUUAGAGUGAUGUUUGAGGCUAGGGUUAGGGUUAGGGUUAGGGUUGUGGUUGAGGCUAGGGUUAGGGUUAGGGUUAGGGUUAGGGUUAGGGUUGUGGUUGAGGCUAGGUUUAGGGUUAGGGUUAUGGUUGAGGCUAGGGUUAGGGUUAGGGUUAGGGUUGUGGUUGAGGCUAGGGUUAGGGUUAGGGUUAGGGUUAGGGUUAGAGUUAUGUUUGAGGCUAGGGUUAGGGUUAGAGUGAUGUUUGAGGCCAGGGCUAGGGUUAGGGUUAGGUGUGUGGUUGAGGCUAGGGUUAGGGUUAGGGUUAUUGUUGAGGAUAGGGUUAGGGUUACGGUUGUGGCUAGGGUUAGGGUUAGGGUUAUGGUGAUUUUUGAGGCUAGGGUUAGGGUUAGGGUUAGAGUGAUGUUUGAGGCUAGGGUUAGGGUUAGGGUUAGGGUUUUGGUUGAGGCUAGGGUUAGGGUUUGGGUUAGGGUUAGAGAGAUAUUUGGGGCUAGGGUUAGGGUUAGGGUUAGGGUUGUGGUUGAGGCUAGGGUUAGGGUUAGGGUUAGGGUUACGGUUGAGGCUAGGGUUAGGGUUAGGGUUAGGGUUACGGUUGUGGCUGAGGCUAGGGUUAGGGUUAGGGUUAGGGUUUUGGCUGAGGCUAGGGUUAGGGUUAGGGUUAGAGUUAUGUUUGAGGCUAGGGUUAGGGUUAGGGUUAGAGUAAUGUUUGAGGCUAGGGCUAGGGUUAGGGUUAGGGUAGUGGUUGAGGCUAGGGUUAGGGUUAGGGUUAGGGUUGUGGUUGAGGCUAGGGUUAGGGUUAGGGUUAGGGUUAGAGAGAUAUUUGGGGCUAGGGUUAGGGUUAGGGUUGUGGUUGAGGCUAGGGUUAGGGUUAGGGUUAGGGUUAUGGUUGAGGCUAGGGUUAGGGUUAGGGUUACGGUUGUGGCUGAGGCUAGGGUUAGGGUUAGGGUUAGAGUUAUGUUUGAGGCUAGGGUUAGGGUUAGAGUGAUGUUUGAGGCCAGGGCUAGGGUUAGGGUUAGGUGUGUGGUUGAGGCUAGGGUUAGGGUUAGGGUUAUUGUUGAGGAUAGGGUUAGGGUUACGGUUGUGGCUAGGGUUAGGGUUAGGGUUAUGGUGAUUUUUGAGGCUAGGGUUAGGGUUAGGGUUAGAGUGAUGUUUGAGGCUAGGGUUAGGGUUAGGGUUAGGGUUUUGGUUGAGGCUAGGGUUAGGGUUCGGGUUAGGGUUAGAGAGAUAUUUGGGGCUAGGGUUAGGGUUAGGGUUAGGGUUAUGGUUGAGGCUAGGGUUAGGGUUAGGGUUAGGGUUGUGGCUGAGGCUAGGGUUAGGGUUAGGGUUAGGGUUGUGGCUGAGGCUAGGGUUAGGGUUAGGGUUAGAGUUAUGUUUGAGGCUAGGGUUAGGGUUAGGGUUAGAGUAAUGUUUGAGGCUAGGGCUAGGGUUAGGGUUAGGGUUAGGGUAGUGGUUGAGGCUAGGGUUAGGGUUAGGGUUAGGGUUGUGGUUGAGGCUAGGGUUAGGGUUAGGGUUAGGGUUAGAGAGAUAUUUGGGGCUAGGGUUAGGGUUAGGGUUGUGGUUGAGGCUAGGGUUAGGGUUAGGGUUAGGGUUAUGGUUGAGGCUAGGGUUAGGGUUAGGGUUACGGUUGUGGCUGAGGCUAGGGUUAGGGUUAGGGUUAGGGUUGUGGCUGAGGCUAGGGUUAGGGUUAGGGUUAGAGUUAUGUUUGAGGCUAGGGUUAGGGUUAGGGUUAGGGUUGUGGUUGAGGCUAGGGUUAGGGUUAGGGUUAGGGUUAGGGUUAUGGUUGAGGCUAGGGUCGGGUUAGGGUUAGGGUUGUGGCUGAGGCUAGGGUUAGGGUUAGGGUUAGGGUUAUGGUGAUUUUUGAGGCUAGAGUUAGGGUUAGGGUUACGGUUGUGGUUGAGGCUAGGGUUAGGGUUAGGGUUAGAGAGCUUUUCGAGGCUAGGGUUAGGGUUAUGGUUAUGGUUGAGGCUAGGGUUAGGGUUAUGGUUAUGGUUAUGGUUGAGGCUAGGGUUAGGGUUAGGGUUAUGGUUGAGGCUAGGGUUAGGGUUUUGGCUGAGGCUUGGGUUAGGGUUACGUUUGAGGCUAGGGUUAGGGUUAGGGUUAGAGUGAUGUUUGAGGCUAGGGAUAGGGUUAGGGUUAGGGUUGUGGUUGAGGCUAGGGUUAGGGUUAGGGUUAGAGAGAUAUUUGAGGCUAGGGUUAGGGUUACGGUUAGAGUGAUGUUUGAGGCUAGGGUUAGGGUUAUGGUUGAGGCUAGGGUUAGGGUUAGGGUUAGAGUUGUGGCUGAGGCUAGGGUUAGGGUUUGGGUUAGGGUUACAUUUGAGGCUAGGGUUAGGGUUAGGGUUAGAGUGAUGUUUGAGGCUAGGGUUAGGGUUAGGGUUAGGGUUGUGGUUGAGGCUAGGGUUAGGGUUAGGGUUGUGGAUGAGGCUAGGGUUAGAGUUAGGGUUAUGUUGAGGCUAGGGUUAGGGUUAGGGUUAUGUGUGAGGCUAGAGUAAGGGUUAGGGUUAGGGUCGAGGCUAGGGUUAGGGUUAGGGUUAUGGUUGAGGCUAGGGUUAGGGUUCGGGUCAGGGUUGAUGCUAGGGUUAGGGUUAGGGUCAUUGAUGAGGCUAGUGUUAGGGUUAGGGUUGAGGCCAGGGUUAGGGUUUGAGCUCGGGGUAGGGGUUAGGGGUUAGGAUUAGGGUUUGUGUACGGGUUGAUGUUCGGUCUAGGGUCAGGGCUAGGGUCAGGGUUAGGGUUAGGGUAAGGGUUGAGGUUCGGGCUAGGGUCAGGGCUAGGGUUAGGGUUAGGGUUGAGGCUAGGGUUAGGGUUAGGGUUAGGGUUAGGGUUCGGGUUAGGGUCAUGGAUUUCGGCUAAGAAUCACUUUCCAGGACCUUUCUACAU